GGACAUUGAUAGGGGUCAUCGUGCUGCGAUAUGGUAUGAGCGCAAGCUUGAGCCUCUGGUCACUCGCACUCCUAAGGAAAACUGGAAGAUACACUCAGGAUGGCUUCAGCGGUUGAAAUGGGCCGGCCUUUUACCUUUCGCGCGUCUGGUUGAGUCUAUCCCGGGUGAGAAACGCCUCGCCAUCGAUGGGUCUUUGCUGAGCUGCUUAGUGGACCGUUGGAGGCCAGAGACCCACACGUUUCACUUCAGAUGGGGAGAGAUGGCUCCUACUCUGGAGGAUGUGUCACUUUUGCUCGGACUACCGUUGGCAGGUCAUGCCGUAGGACCGUUGGACGCACCGGCUGGUUGGGAGCGAGCUCUUACACAAUGUUUUCAUGGUGUUUUUCCGGAUGCUCCGGAUCCGGUAUGGGAGCAUCACGGACCUAAGUAUGAGUGGUUGCUAAAUUUCCGGAUCCAGAACUUCCGGGCGCCGUUGACUGCGGAACAGAUCACUCGGAGCCUGGAGGCCUACUUACUGUGGCUUUUCGGC
Non-coding RNA from Aegilops tauschii subsp. strangulata, 529 nucleotides. The record is from RefSeq and is a predicted model, not a curated record. NCBI's taxonomy places the organism in Eukaryota, Viridiplantae, Streptophyta, Magnoliopsida, Poales, Poaceae.